Molecule: ribosomal RNA, 450 nt
Filed under: uncultured Glomeromycotina
Lineage: Eukaryota; Fungi; Glomeromycota
Description: SSU rRNA
Rfam family: Eukaryotic small subunit ribosomal RNA
Source: RNAcentral
AGCAGCCGCGGUAAUUCCAGCUCCAAUAGCGUAUAUUAAAGUUGUUGCAGUUAAAAAGCUCGUAGUUGAAUUUCGGGAUCAAUUUAUCGGUCGUGCCAAUGGUAUGAACUGGUACAAUUGGUUUCUCCCUUCUGACGAAGCAUGAUGUCAUUAAUUUGGUGUCGUGGGGAAUCAGGACUGUUACUUUGAAAAAUUAGAGUGUUUAAAGCAAGCAUUAGCUUGAAUACAUUAGCAUGGAAUAAUGAAAUAGGACGUUUGAUCCUAUUUCGUUGGUUUCUAGGAUCGACGUAAUGAUUAAUAGGGAUAGUUGGGGGCAUUAGUAUUCAAUUGUCAGAGGUGAAAUUCUUGGAUUUAUUGAAGACUAACUACUGCGAAAGCAUUUGCCAAGGAUGUUUUCAUUAAUCAAGAACGAAAGUUAGGGGAUCGAAGACGAUCAGAUACCGUCGUAGU